GGUCCCCAGAUACUGUUGAACUACAACUCCCAUCCCCCCUAGCUAGCAAGGCCAAAGCUCAGGCAUGAUAGGAGUUGUAGUCCAACAAGAUCUGGGGACACACA
Podarcis lilfordi (Lilford's wall lizard) is the source of this 104-nucleotide non-coding RNA. The record is from the annotation of a GenBank genome assembly. Lineage: Eukaryota; Metazoa; Chordata; Lepidosauria; Squamata; Lacertidae.